This 3679-nucleotide ribosomal RNA is filed under the name Triticum aestivum (bread wheat). Its description in RNAcentral is "partial small subunit ribosomal RNA". Lineage: Eukaryota; Viridiplantae; Streptophyta; Magnoliopsida; Poales; Poaceae. The record is from RNAcentral.
GGAUCGACGAGUAAUGUGUGGUAAGGUAAGUUAUGAGCGAACGAACCCUAUCCUCGGUAGCCACCUAGGCGGAGGCGGAGGCGGAGCGGGGAGCGGAGGUAGGGGUACCUAGAACACGACCUCCUUCGGAACGCCCGGUACCGAGCGCGCCAGCUGGUCAAGGCCUCGGACCCGCUGUCCGUCUACGCCUCCACGGACGACCCGCGGCCCCUGGUGCAGUCGCCGUUCGACGCCCUCCACCGCUGGGACGACCUGGUCUAGGCGCUGGAGCAGACCCGGCUGCUGCUCUCCUCGAGAGGCCGCUCCUCCCUAGCGGAGUUCCUCCGGAAGAUGCCGUAGCUCCUGAACCACCCGCCGUACCUCAUGGUGUCGGAGUGAAAGGUCCAACUUAGGCCAUAAAGGAGUUUCAGUUUAGCGUUAGGUGAAAGAAGACGAUAGUCCGACCCGUUCGCUAAGCAAUCGUCGUCGCCGUCGCUACUCCGCAGCGCGGCGGCCAAGGAGUUCCUGGAGCUAAGGCAGCGUUCGUGAGAGUCGAGAGACGAGUUCGUUCGUGUUCCCAGGCCAGACGGCGGGUGGCAAGGCCACGGGCUAAAACUGCGACGGUGCUACGAGGUCCCACCAGUGUUCCACAAACCGGCGUUGUUCCUCGACUUGCUGUAGCACGUUUACGACUGACUCGGCGGGAGCGGGGUGACGUGACGGACGUCCCAACAGAGGUAACAACCGAACCCGCCAAACCCGUUCUGGUGCGAGCGGGUCAGUCAGAUGCUGCUAUGGUCUCAGUUCAGGGUGAAACUAGAGUCUCGUACCCGUGUACAGAGUCCGUUCGGACUGUUCUACCUUGAGCGUUUCGUUUAGAACGCAAGUCGGUUGGGCUCUAUGCCACCUAGGUAGCUGUUUCUACGGUGCAAACGUUGAGAAGUCAACUUCGAGUUAGCCAAUUACAGCAGGUCCUCUAAAGACUAACAAGAACUACUAUAGACCCCACUGCUGGGGAAGUGGUUGCUGCGGAUGUUGCUUUAGGAGUCAGGUGAUUCUAGGUACCUCUCGCCGUCAUCCUAAUAACGACAGUGAGCCUGUGGUUUCCACCGACUGUACGAUCUACGUAGAGUGUGGAUGAAGGACUUACGUAACCCGUGACUGCUAACAACCAGUGACUAGUUCCUUAGACGGAAACCCCCGGCCUCGUGUGUACUCCUCACGUGACUUCUUAACCUUGUCUAGCCCUACUUCUAACGGCGGUUCGAGUUGCCUAACGGAAACCGACGGUUCGACUACCCUCCUGACGAACCUCGAUGUUUCUCGUGUUUCAUGACCGCAUAAUAGAGCCUUUUUCUUAAAAGGUCUCUAUAGUGAGAGAGGAACGACGCCAACUCGAUGUCAAUGGACGGUCCUGCUGAGUUCGUCACGAAACGCAAGACGUCGUAUAAAGGGUUCUUGACCUUCAAGCUGGUUUGUUGGAACCAUGCGGAAACCUACCGGUUGCCGAAGUAAGUUGGCGUUUCACCGUGACCGUUUUCCUACCUCCUAGACCCGUGUCUAAUAAAGUUACAAGACGACAGAGCCAGGAAGAAGGUACGAGAGUCCGUCCCGGCAGCGUGUGUGAUAUUCUACGUACUGAACUAGGUACUAUACCGUCACAGUCGAAGUUGGCUUCUAACGACAGUUUAACUCGGACCGUACUGGGCAGCAUAGGGGAGUUGACACGCGGUACAUAGCCAGUGGUGGCCGUCGAACGUUCUGCAGUUACGACGGUAGUUGUAUGAGGGCUUUUUGGAUGCGUGGCAGUAUCAAAAACCUUUAACCUGUGUAAAAGAGCUUCUACUGAGGGACCAAUUCGAUUUCUUAGACGCUCGUGAACUACAAACAGUGACACUGAAAUGACUCAACGGUGGUCGAUAAAGGACAAAUAAGGUAGAGGCAAUGAACAGCGACAGAGCGUGGUAAGCCUCAGAAGGUCUCAGGUAUUCGUUCGACGAGGUAGACGUUUGGAACACGAAACUUCUAUUCACAAGGGAACUAUUCGAAGGACGUCCUUAUUCAUCCGAACAUUUCAACGCCGUGGAACCUUAGCUGUACUUCAUGUAACGUGUCGAUGGCCCAUAACCUGCUGAAUAAUUGGACGUCCCUAGUCAACUCAAGGCACAAUUUUUCCCCCCUCCCGUACGGAACGUUCUCGACUUCCCGUAUUUUACAGAGGUACCGGUCGAUUUUUAAUUUCCGGAGCUGUUACAGAACUCGUUCCUACUUCGGUCGUUCUGGCUGUACUUUUCAUUUCUCUUAGAAUCCCGCGAGUGUGACCUUACCUCAAGUCGAACAUCUUAAGAGUGGGGACACCGACUAACACUUCAUGACCUUUUGGAGGUCGGUGUAGUUUUGAACUUCCUUGAAUCGUAACAUUCCAUAGAACCACACUGUAGAGGGUCAACCAAUGUCAACCGUAACGACUCCCUCGACGUUAGGAACGUGGAACAAUUGACGUCCUCGAACCCUCAAGACGGACGUGAACCGGAAGACGGUAGGGAGCUUGUUAAUGUAUACUUCCUCGACACGUGCCAGCUCGCUUAACCCGUACUCAAAAUACCAUGACCACUGUACCGUAAAGGAAGGGAUUUCCAAGAACACGAACUGCUAAAAGGGUCGAACCAGCUCACCAGACUUCACUCCCUUUUGGGUGAAGGAACAGAGGUCUCCGAUUUCUAACAUCUGACGGGGUUUGACUAAGUUCAAGGACGUAAAGGCGGUAGGCAGAGACUCGAAUGUCACCUCGCAUGUAAUAACUAUAGAUUAUACUUCGAACGAGGAAUAAGAAGUAGUGCUAGUCUCUAUGAGUGGGACCUGUAAAGAUGCUGGUCACAUGAAAGGUCCCCUGACAAGGUAGUUUCGGUAGAUCGUAGAUAGUAUCAAAAUUUGUAUUUGCGACCGACGUUCGUAGAACAACGGCGUCUCCCUGAGGUGUGGAAAUGAAGAGAGGUUUUCGAAGUCGACACGGUGAGACUGUAUAGUCUAGUCUUAAACCUUUCAGAAGAAGUCAGUGUCUCAACGUUUAUAGGUUGACAGGUGACGAGAGAAGACAUCAGAGGAACUGAUGAAAACAAAGUGACUUUGCAAACCACUAACUCUUUACGGGGUUUGACUGCCGUCGUAGAAAGGGUCAUUUGAAAACCUCUGAGUGUCGGGAGUUCCAAGACUCGUAUAGUAUGACGUGUCUCAAGGUCAGAAAUGGAUGAACACCAGACGGUUGGAGUUAUCUUCGUGAAGUAGAACAACCCACAGUGGGUUUCGACGUACCUUUAAGUUCGUUGUUCUGACAGUUAAGGGUUCUCCUUCAAAGAUGAGAUGUGUUUUGUAACCGAGUGACUGUCUUGUGUGAAGUCCACUUUUUCCUAACCGUUAACUAUUUUUACCAUUUGUUCACGGCGUACUUCUUUAGUUCACUGCUUUAAGACCAAUAUAUUCCUUUAUCAUAAACAGGGCGUUUUUAUUUUUAUUCCUUUAUCAUAAACCUCACGUAUACUUGGCUCAUACACAGUGUUACAGAUUCGUUAUAAAGUAAGCAACAGGUGUUUUGAUACUUAAGAUCCUGUACGAUAACAUAGAAAACAAUUUCCCUUAAACAUUUCAACUUAAGAACUUAAUAACAUGUAAGAGUCCAAAGAAACACCUAGGUGAAAACGAA